This 1401-nucleotide long non-coding RNA is filed under the name Marmota monax (woodchuck). Lineage: Eukaryota; Metazoa; Chordata; Mammalia; Rodentia; Sciuridae. The record is from RNAcentral.
GGAACACUCCUGGAAAGGGAGAUGUGUCCUCAUUCAUCAUCGGGAGAGUUGGUUUCAGCUGUGCUGACCCACCUAGGACAGCUAUGUGUGUGGGGGAAAGGGAUACCAUUUAUUCAGAGCAGAGUUCUAUGGGCAUGUCCACUAUUCAGUGGUUUGGUCUUAAGGUGCCUGAGAGGAAGUCCCCUUUGAUGUCCUCCCCACAGUGUUAAAAGUAGAUCAAGGGUCCCUGAAAAUCAAGGGUCCUAUGGAUCCUUCUGCACCUUUUGACAAAGCUAUGAACACUCAUUUGCCACAUACUUUGCUAUUCCGGGACAAGAGGGCAACCUUCAGAAUUUGGAGCACCCAAGCAAGGGAUAAACUUUCCAAAAGAAGUAUUUAAGCAACAGAGAAUAUCUUCUAGAGAGAACUUCAGAGGCACUGGCAAAAGAAAGAAAUGAGCACCUAUCAUGGGUCCAAGAAGCUGGUGUACUGUGCUGAUGUUAUUAGAUGGAUACCCUGUGGAUGAUCAUGUCUGGGAACUCCUAUGGUCCAACUUCUUGUCCUGAGUUCUAAGAAUGAGUUUAUCUGAUCCUCUACAGUUAUAAUCCUGAGCAGAGGAACCUGUUCUGAACAUGGCUUCUGUCUACCAUAGCAGACUUCUCAACAGGACUGGAAAACCCAAAAUCUUUUCAUUGCACUGAAGAUUAAGUCACCUUACUUGUCUACCUCUGUACUGUUUAGAAUCUCUUGCUGUCUAUUUAGUUAAGUUCAACAGUAUUUACUGGACCUUUAGGGCAUAGAGCUGGACCCAGGAAAUACAAAUAGAUGAAAACACAAUCACUGUCCUUAGAUGUUCCCAGACUGUAAAGCGGUCAAACUCCAGAGUAAGGAUGAGGAUGUGAAUCAAACAAUGAACGGGGAAUAAAUGGGGUGACAAGAGGGUUAGGAGGCUCAGCUGUCUAGCAGACAAGGUUGUAUGGAAGGGGACAAAGUAUCAGGAAGACUAGGUAGCCUCCAGGGAUGACCCCAGAACUGAAGAGGGGAAGGUGGCAGCUCAGGGUUCUCUACCAGCUUGCUGGAUGAAACCUAACUUCACCUUCAUGACUCACUCAGAUUCCAUGUAUAACCCCAGGGUCAGGGGCCAGGAUUAGCUAUGAAGUGCACUCUUACCCAGGAGCCUAUUAAAGCACUUUGCAUCUUUCCGGGAAGGGAGUAGAAAAGACAAACUUUUCUCUUGUCUUUUUGAGGCUACAUCUGAGGGAAGAGAAUCUGGAGGGGUCCACUUGAUGUUGCUUAGUAACAAGAGGAGGUUGUGACUCCACAAUGCUGUUUGUUGAGGCAGCACCUGACCUGCUACUCUUUUAUCCUUUCUGCUAUUUCUUCUCUAUAAGAGAAAUCUGUCCCUUGCCAUUAUCAGUCUGC